Molecule: RNase P RNA, 302 nt
Filed under: Enterococcus faecium
Lineage: Bacteria; Bacillati; Bacillota; Bacilli; Lactobacillales; Enterococcaceae
Description: partial RNase P RNA component class B
Rfam family: Bacterial RNase P class B
About the family: Ribonuclease P (RNase P) is a ubiquitous endoribonuclease, found in archaea, bacteria and eukarya as well as chloroplasts and mitochondria. Its best characterised activity is the generation of mature 5'-ends of tRNAs by cleaving the 5'-leader elements of precursor-tRNAs.
Source: RNAcentral
GUUUUCGGGUAAUCGCGGUCUGACUUGAUCAGGCUGAGGAAAGUCCAUGCUCGCACAGGCUGUGAUGCCUGUAGUGUUCGUGCUUAGCGAAACCAUAAGCUAAGGUACUCUUUGGAGUAACGGCAGGAAAACAAGCUAAGGCUUCGGCUAUGCUUAAGUAUCCUUGAAAGUGCCACAGUGACGAAGCGGCUGGGGAAACCCAUCCGGUGGAACGCGGUAAACCCCUCGAGCGAGCAACCCAAACAAUGGUAGGGGCGCUUUUUGUCUGGAAGAAGAACAGGACAAAAAGGCAGUAUAACUGC